Molecule: long non-coding RNA, 317 nt
Filed under: Polistes fuscatus (common paper wasp)
Lineage: Eukaryota; Metazoa; Arthropoda; Insecta; Hymenoptera; Vespidae
Description: uncharacterized LOC122524001
Source: RNAcentral
AAAAUAGAACUGAUAAGUUAUUGCAUUAUAUUUUAAUGAUGCCUGUUAACUAGUACAAAUUACUUAAAAUAGUUAAAAUGCCUGUUAAACUAGUAAAAAAUAUAAAAAUAGUUUAAAAAGGUGUUUUGUAAGUGCAUUGUAAUUUAUCAUCUUCCGAAAAAAUGUAAAAUGAUAAUUAAAUUUCAACAAUUUUGGACUACUCCCUGGUAUCUGUCUAACCACGAGGAGGUAACCGCUUCUGAAGACCCGGGAUGUGCAUCCUGAAGAUGUCCCCAUCCGAAUUAAAUUGAAACCACAGAAAAUGAAAGUCCCGAGAA